UACGGAGGAUCCAAGCGUUAUCCGGAAUUACUGGGCGUAAAGAGUUGCGUAGGUGGCAUAGUAAGUCGGUAGUGAAAGCGUGGGGCUCAACCCCAUACACAUUAUCGAAACUGCUAAGCUUGAGGAUGAGAGAGGUUAUUGGAAUUCCCUGUGUAGGAGUGAAAUCCGUAGAUAUAGGGAGGAACACCGAUGGCGUAGGCAGAUAACUGGCUCAUUCCUGACACUAAGGCACGAAAGCGUGGGGAGCAAACGGG
RNAcentral lists this ribosomal RNA (254 nucleotides) under uncultured bacterium. Its description in RNAcentral is "partial 16S ribosomal RNA". It matches the Rfam family "Bacterial small subunit ribosomal RNA", at positions 524 to 776 of the family's 1533-position model. The record is from RNAcentral.